CAUACAGUCAGAUACACACACAUACAGUCAGAUACACACAUACAGUCAGAUAUACACACAUAGUCAGAUACACACAUACAGUCAGAUACACAUAUACAGUCAGAUAUACACAUACAGUCAGAUAUACACACAUACAGUCAGAUACACACAUACAGUCAGAUAUACACACAUAGUCAGAUACACACAUACAGUCAGAUACACAUAUACAGUCAGAUAUACACAUACAGUCAGAUAUACACACAUACAGUCAGAUAUACACACAUACAGUCAGAUACACACAUACAGUCAGAUAUACACACACAUAGUCAGAUACACACAUACAGUCAGAUAUACACACAUA
Pelobates cultripes (western spadefoot toad) is the source of this 340-nucleotide non-coding RNA. NCBI's taxonomy places the organism in Eukaryota, Metazoa, Chordata, Amphibia, Anura, Pelobatidae. The record is from the annotation of a GenBank genome assembly.